This 405-nucleotide long non-coding RNA is filed under the name Pongo abelii (Sumatran orangutan). RNAcentral describes it as "lincRNA". The record is from RNAcentral. Lineage: Eukaryota; Metazoa; Chordata; Mammalia; Primates; Hominidae.
CCGUUUGUGAGAGAAAACCUGGUAUCUGGCAUCUGACGUUUCAGCACAAUCUUCUAUUCUGCACCUGGAUGACAUCACUGUUCUGUCCUUUGCAGAGAUGUGCACACAGGGCCCUAACUCUCUGGGAGCUGCUAGGGGCAGAGCCCAGUAAUCCCGACGACUUAGUGGAUCCUGUGCCUCCCAAGGAUGGUGCCCACGGUGACUGCACACUUGUCACAGACUGGCAGGCCAUUUGUCUGCUGCAGCCCACCAAAUCCCACAGAUCCUUCUGGAUACUUUGCAGCAGGCUUUUCAUACCUUGAGUCUUAUUUAAUGUUCACAUGAAAAAGCAACUACUGUUUGCUGUGCUCAUAAAAGUCUUGUUAGAAAUUAACAUCUUGCGUGAAUAAAAACAUCAAGUAAGUA